This 240-nucleotide long non-coding RNA is filed under the name Homo sapiens (human). Its description in RNAcentral is "non-protein coding lnc-MYL12B-7:1". Lineage: Eukaryota; Metazoa; Chordata; Mammalia; Primates; Hominidae. The record is from RNAcentral.
UCUGAUUUACUUUAUUGUUGUAAUGACAGAAAAACAAAGUUUUCAUGUCCCCCCCUCCAUGUUUUUUGGUUAUCUGGAUUCCUUUUUAGGUAAAAUACAAAUCUACAGGCUGUCCAACUUUUUAAACACAGAGUUUUUCUUUUCUACGGUUUGUAUAAGCCCUUCAUGAAUUAAGUCAAUUGGGCUUAUGCCUGAAUGUGCUACAACUAUUUUUCCAAGUUUCUUAGCUUUUGAAAAUUU